This 253-nucleotide ribosomal RNA is filed under the name uncultured bacterium. RNAcentral describes it as "partial 16S ribosomal RNA". It matches the Rfam family "Bacterial small subunit ribosomal RNA", at positions 524 to 776 of the family's 1533-position model. The record is from RNAcentral.
UACGAAGGGGGCUAGCGUUGCUCGGAAUCACUGGGCGUAAAGGGUGCGUAGGCGGGUUUUUAAGUCAGGGGUGAAAUCCUGGAGCUCAACUCCAGAACUGCCUUCGAUACUGGGAGUCUCGAGUCCGGGAGAGGUGAGUGGAACUGCGAGUGUAGAGGUGAAAUUCGUAGAUAUUCGCAAGAACACCAGUGGCGAAGGCGGCUCACUGGCCCGGUACUGACGCUGAGGUGCGAAAGCGUGGGGAGCAAACAGG